RNAcentral lists this unclassified non-coding RNA (178 nucleotides) under uncultured fungus. RNAcentral describes it as "sequence contains ITS1, 5.8S rRNA gene". The record is from RNAcentral. Lineage: Eukaryota; Fungi.
UGUAUACCUGGUCGAGCGUAAGCUUGGCCAAACCAUGUGUGAAUCAGUGUUCUCUUCCCAGUGGAAGCUCUUGCGACCCUGGGCUUAAUUGUCUGGGCGAGCUUGGGUGAAUGCUGGGGUAUUGCCUCGCAAGAGGUGAAUCAUGUUCAAUAGCAGGGAACUCAAAAGUAACAAAUUA